This 484-nucleotide ribosomal RNA is filed under the name uncultured bacterium. RNAcentral's name for it is "partial 16S ribosomal RNA". It matches the Rfam family "Bacterial small subunit ribosomal RNA", at positions 28 to 507 of the family's 1533-position model. The record is from RNAcentral.
AUUGAACGCUGGCGGCAUGCUUUACACAUGCCAGUCGAACGGCAGCGCGGGCUUCGGCCUGGCGGCGAGUGGCGAACGGGUGAGUAAUGCAUCGGAACGUGCCCAGUAGUGGGGGAUAGCCCGGCGAAAGCCGGAUUAAUACCGCAUACGACCUGAGGGUGAAAGCGGGGGACCGAAAGGCCUCGCGCUAUUGGAGCGGCCGAUGUCGGAUUAGCUAGUUGGUGGGGUAAAGGCUUACCAAGGCGACGAUCCGUAGCUGGUCUGAGAGGACGACCAGCCACACUGGCACUGAGACACGGCCCAGACUCCUACGGGAGGCAGCAGUGGGGAAUUUUGGACAAUGGGGGCAACCCUGAUCCAGCCAUGCCGCGUGCGGGAAGAAGGCCUUCGGGUUGUAAACCGCUUUUGUUCGGGAAGAAAUCCUCUGGGCUAAUACCCCGGGGGGAUGACGGUACCGGAAGAAUAAGCACCGGCUAACUACGUG